GAAUGAGUACGUAUUUAAGUUUAAAACAGCCAAUUCCAUCUUUUUCAUGGAUUCUGCCAAUUAUAGAUCCUUCCAUUAUGAAGAAGAGUAAAGCCAGCAAGUUCACCAGAGCGCGAAGAAACAAGUCAUCUUGUCCUCAGGGACAGAAUUCAACGCCGUCAAAUCUCUCAUAUUGGGAAAGGUUUUAGAGGCUGCCGGCGCGGACCCGGACACAAGGCGGGCGGCGACUAGUGGCUUCACUGGCUGCCUCUCGGCGGUGCGCUUCGGCCGCGCUGCUCCCCUGAAGGCGGC
Molecule: small RNA, 291 nt
Filed under: Pan troglodytes (chimpanzee)
Lineage: Eukaryota; Metazoa; Chordata; Mammalia; Primates; Hominidae
Description: processed transcript
Source: RNAcentral